RNAcentral lists this ribosomal RNA (203 nucleotides) under uncultured Lactobacillus sp. RNAcentral's name for it is "partial 16S ribosomal RNA". It matches the Rfam family "Bacterial small subunit ribosomal RNA", at positions 159 to 354 of the family's 1533-position model. Lineage: Bacteria; Bacillati; Bacillota; Bacilli; Lactobacillales; Lactobacillaceae. The record is from RNAcentral.
GAUGCUAAUACCGGAUAAUAACAGAUGAUGCCUAUCAACUGUUUAAAAGAUGGUUCUGCUAUCACUCUUGGAUGGACCUGCGGUGCAUUAGCUAGUUGGUAGGGUAACGGCCUACCAAGGCGAUGAUGCAUAGCCGAGUUGAGAGACUGAUCGGCCACAUUGGGACUGAGACACGGCCCAAACUCCUACGGGAGGCAGCAGGA